AGGAUCCAUUUCCUGAAGCUGAUGAUGAUGUCACAUACAGCACUGUCAUCCCCCAGCACAAGGCCCAACUAAAAGGACAGACCAAGUCAGCAGAACCAGAUGAUAAUGUGGUCUACAGCUCACUAGCUCUACAGGUGACCACACAGCAGAGGGCAGCAGCACAAUAGUGACUGACUGAGAAGACCUUCGUCGAGUCCUUAUCCUGGAUGGACAGAACACUACCCUCUCCUGUGUUACAUCUAUCUGCCUCCAAUAUGCUUCUGCCAUACCUCUUAAUAACCCACCCUAGACAGACCCCUCUAUUCUUUAGUGUAAUAAACUCCUGAAAACAG
Salvelinus sp. IW2-2015 is the source of this 332-nucleotide long non-coding RNA. RefSeq lists it as uncharacterized. Lineage: Eukaryota; Metazoa; Chordata; Actinopteri; Salmoniformes; Salmonidae. The record is from RefSeq and is a predicted model, not a curated record.